Lactuca sativa (garden lettuce) is the source of this 968-nucleotide long non-coding RNA. RefSeq lists it as uncharacterized. The record is from RefSeq and is a predicted model, not a curated record. NCBI's taxonomy places the organism in Eukaryota, Viridiplantae, Streptophyta, Magnoliopsida, Asterales, Asteraceae.
UCAUCGACUCAUGCCAUUACUUGUCUUUUCUUUUUCUCAAUAUUUUAUAGAUGGAGAAGAUCUCAAGAUCCCACCUGAAUUCCCUCAAACUUCAUUAUCAGAUUCAGAAUACAAACCUCGUAAUAUAUAGAUAUUCUCUCUUAGAUUGCUUCAGUGAAUUCUUCGGUUAUAAGUGGGAGUCCUCGAAUUCAUGAUCAAUAUGGCAGGUGGAGGUGGAUAUCGAGGCGCCUUCUGAAGCCAUCUCAUCACUCUUAGACUCGCUUAAAAUCAUGUUCACCUGUUCAGCAGCCAUUUGAAGAGACGAUGUAGGAGGAUUCAAAUAAUUGUUUUCCUUGGUGACUGCAUCUUGAUCGUUACUAAACUGAGAAGCAACAAAUUUAUCCAUUACACGCCAAUCAGUCAUCACUUGAACAUCAUUUCCACCACCAUCACCAUUAUUAUUAUAACCAUAAAGCAAGUUGGGGUUCAAUUGGUGAUCAGUUGGAGGUUGAAAAGUGGUUGCAUAGGAAGCGUUAAUGUUACCAGCUGAAGAUUGUGGAAAUCUAAGAGACUCUAAUUGAGGAAGCUGGAGGAAGGAGUGCUCACGAGGGAAGUUAUAAUGGAUUUGAUCAUCAAGCUCAGAUUUCGCAGGAAAUUGAUGCUGGAAUGAACUGUUCGAUGUAUAAGGAUGAGAAUGAGAUACUCGACUUGGGGAUUCAAAAUCCGGCAUGAAUGAGACUUGAUCAUCGUACCAACACACAGAAUCAUGUUCGUCCAUUCUACGUACGGUUGUUAUUCGUUUUUUGAACACCCUGCAUACAACCCAUCCUUCCUCCUGUUGCAAAUUAUAAAGAACGAUGCAUGCAUUAGAAUCAGUUGAUAAUAACUCAUCUUACUGUUAUAUCGUUUUUGUUUAAAGGUAAGUAUAUAUCGGGAUAGCUGAUGAAUAUUACCAAAGCAUGUGUUCAAAAAUUAUCUUUCAUUUUGCA